CAUAGGUUUGGUCCCAGCCUUCCUGUUAACUCUUAAUAAACUUACACAUGCAAGCAUCUACACCCCAGUGAGAAUGCCCUCUAGGUUAUUAAAACUAAGAGGAGCUGGCAUCAAGCACACACCCUGUAGCUCACGACGCCUUGCUUAACCACACCCCCACGGGAAACAGCAGUGACAAAAAUUAAGCCAUAAACGAAAGUUUGACUAAGUUAUAUUAAUUAGGGUUGGUAAAUCUCGUGCCAGCCACCGCGGUCAUACGAUUAACCCAAGCUAACAGGAGUACGGCGUAAAAAAUAAAUGACGAAAGUGACCCUACAAUAGCCGACGCACUAUAGCUAAGACCCAAACUGGGAUUAGAUACCCCACUAUGCUUAGCCCUAAACACAGAUAAUUACAUAAACAAAAUUAUUCGCCAGAGUACUACUAGCAACAGCUUAAAACUCAAAGGACUUGGCGGUGCUUUAUAUCCUUCUAGAGGAGCCUGUUCUAUAUAAUCACUAGUGAAU
RNAcentral lists this ribosomal RNA (506 nucleotides) under Bos taurus (domestic cattle). Its description in RNAcentral is "partial 12S ribosomal RNA". The record is from RNAcentral. Lineage: Eukaryota; Metazoa; Chordata; Mammalia; Artiodactyla; Bovidae.